RNAcentral lists this ribosomal RNA (239 nucleotides) under uncultured bacterium. Its description in RNAcentral is "partial 16S ribosomal RNA". It matches the Rfam family "Bacterial small subunit ribosomal RNA", at positions 118 to 350 of the family's 1533-position model. The record is from RNAcentral.
UGAGGAACAUGACCUUCGGGCGGGGGGAUAGCCGGCCCAACGGCCGGGUAAUACCGCGUACGACCUUUCGGGGACAUCCCUGGAUGGUGAAAGCAGCAAUGCGCCGAUGGAGUGCCUCGCGGCCUAUCAGCUAGUUGGUGAGGUAACGCUCACAAGGCGACGGACGGGUAGCUGGUCUGAGAGGAUCGGCCAGCCACUAUUGGGACUGAGACACCGGCCAGACCUCCGUACGGGGAGCA